GACGAACGCUGGCGGCGUGCCUAAUACAUGCAAGUAGAACGCUGAAGGAGGAGCUUGCUCUUCUGGAUGAGUUGCGAACGGGUGAGUAACGCGUAGGUAACCUGCCUGGUAGCGGGGGAUAACUAUUGGAAACGAUAGCUAAUACCGCAUAAGAGUAGAUGUUGCAUGACAUUUACUUAAAAGGUGCAAUUGCAUCACUACCAGAUGGACCUGCGUUGUAUUAGCUAGUUGGUGGGGUAACGGCUUACCAAGGCGACGAUACAUAGCCGACCUGAGAGGGUGAUCGGCCACACUGGGACUGAGACACGGCCCAGACUCCUACAGGAGGCAGCAGUAGGGAAUCUUCGGCAAUGGACGGAAGUCUGACCGAGCAACGCCGCGUGAGUGAAGAAGGUUUUCGGAUCGUAAAGCUCUGUUGUAAGAGAAGAACGAGUGUGAGAGUGGAAAGUUCACACUGUGACGGUAUCUUACCAGAAAGGGACGGCUAACUACGUG
This 495-nucleotide ribosomal RNA is filed under the name uncultured bacterium. RNAcentral's name for it is "partial 16S ribosomal RNA". It matches the Rfam family "Bacterial small subunit ribosomal RNA", at positions 28 to 507 of the family's 1533-position model. The record is from RNAcentral.